RNAcentral lists this ribosomal RNA (504 nucleotides) under uncultured bacterium. RNAcentral describes it as "partial 16S ribosomal RNA". It matches the Rfam family "Bacterial small subunit ribosomal RNA", at positions 899 to 1397 of the family's 1533-position model. The record is from RNAcentral.
ACUCAAAUGAAUAGACGGGGGUCCGCACAAGCGGUGGAACAUGUGGUUUAAUUCGACACUACGCGAGAAACCUUACCUGGGUUUGACAUGUGCCUGACGGUCACAGAGAUGUGGCUUUCUGGGUUUACUCAGACAGGUACACAGGUGCUGCAUGGCUGUCGUCAGCUCGUGUCGUGAGAUGUUGGGUUAAGUCCUUUAACGAGCGCAACCCUUGCUGCCAGUUGCAACUGCCUUAUGGUAAAGCACUCUGGUGGGACUGCCCGGGAAACCGGGAGGAAGGUGGGGACGACGUCAAGUCAUCAUGGCCCUUAUGUCCAGGGCUACACACGUGUUACAAUGGCCGGUACAAAGAGUUGCAAACUUGUAAAAGUAAGCCAAUCUCACAAAGCCGGUCUAAGUUCGGAUUGAGGUCUGCAACUCGACCUCAUGAAGUUGAAAUCGCUAGUAAUCGCGCAUCAUCACGGCGCGGUGAAUACGUUCACGGACCUUGCACACACCGCCCGU